GACGUUAGCGGCGGACGGGUGAGUAACACGUGGAUAACCUACCUAUAAGACUGGGAUAACUUCGGGAAACCGGAGCUAAUACCGGAUAACAUAUUGAACCGCAUGGUUCAAUAGUGAAAGGCGGCUUUGCUGUCACUUAUAGAUGGAUCCGCGCCGUAUUAGCUAGUUGGUAAGGUAACGGCUUACCAAGGCAACGAUACGUAGCCGACCUGAGAGGGUGAUCGGCCACACUGGAACUGAGACACGGUCCAGACUCCUACGGGAGGCAGCAGUAGGGAAUCUUCCGCAAUGGGCGAAAGCCUGACGGAGCAACGCCGCGUGAGUGAUGAAGGUCUUCGGAUCGUAAAACUCUGUUAUCAGGGAAGAACAAAUGUGUAAGUAACUGUGCACAUCUUGACGGUACCUGAUCAGAAAGCCACGGCUAACUACGUGCCAGCAGCCGCGGUAAUACGUAGGUGGCAAGCGUUAUCCGGAAUUAUUGGGCGUAAAGCGCGCGUAGGCGGUUUUUUAAGUCUGAUGUGAAAGCCCACGGCUCAACCGUGGAGGGUCAUUGGAAACUGGAAAACUUGAGUGCAGAAGAGGAAAGUGGAAUUCCAUGUGUAGCGGUGAAAUGCGCAGAGAUAUGGAGGAACACCAGUGGCGAAGGCGACUUUCUGGUCUGUAACUGACGCUGAUGUGCGAAAGCGUGGGGAUCAAACAGGAUUAGAUACCCUGGUAGUCCACGCCGUAAACGAUGAGUGCUAAGUGUUAGGGGGUUUCCGCCCCUUAGUGCUGCAGCUAACGCAUUAAGCACUCCGCCUGGG
RNAcentral lists this ribosomal RNA (803 nucleotides) under Staphylococcus sp. 45. RNAcentral describes it as "bacterial SSU rRNA". It matches the Rfam family "Bacterial small subunit ribosomal RNA", at positions 88 to 877 of the family's 1533-position model. The record is from RNAcentral. Lineage: Bacteria; Bacillati; Bacillota; Bacilli; Caryophanales; Staphylococcaceae.